This is a non-coding RNA of Manis javanica (Malayan pangolin), 1213 nucleotides long. The record is from RefSeq and is a predicted model, not a curated record. Lineage: Eukaryota; Metazoa; Chordata; Mammalia; Pholidota; Manidae.
GCGGGAAAGGGUCCGGGACGGCCUGGCAAGAAGGCGUUCCGCACGGCCGGGCCGGGGAGCACGGUACCUGGGAGCGAGCGCACGGCUGCCUUCCCCAGCUCUCAGGGCCUGGGGCGGCGCCUCGUGUACCCCCUGAAAACGAGGCAGGGAGGCGUGGCUUCCAGCCCAGGGUGGGGUAGGAUGAGUGAACCGGGAGGUGGGGACGGCUCGGGGGCCAGCCCCGGGCGCAGCAGCCGCGGAGGAGGCCGCAGAGCCGCUCCCUCAUUCCAGGGCCCUUGCGGCCACCUCGCUACUCAUCCCUUCCCACUCCCGCUGCCAGCUCUUCUCGGAGGCACAUCGACUCACUGCGGCCCCAUCAGCCGGCUCCCCGCCGUCCGACGUGAUUCUCCCAGGGCACACCUGGGGCACACGAAGAACUGCCUGUCCUGUCCCCUUGGAGCUAGAUGUGGCUUCUUGUCUGACUCAAGCCAAAGGAAUGCACGCAGAGGCGAAACCCACUCAGCUGAUUCCCAUGGCUCCUGGGCUAUUCUGCCCCCUGGGUGGAAAGAGCCGAUAAAGGGAGAUGGAAACCCACUCCUCCUUAAAAUUCCUCAGCCUCUGGAAGAUUCUGGGGUGUCUGGAAGCAGCACAAGCUCCUGGGAAAAUAAUGGGCCAAGUCCCAUUACAGGAUGCGUCCCAGGAUGGGAAGAGAGAAUUUGCCUCCAUGGGAGGUGGGAUCAUCUCAACACAAGCCUGCCCUUUCUUGGUGGAACCAUGCCAAGAUCAGGGUUGCAUUUCCUGUCCAAACCCUUAGCCCAGGAGAAUGAAACACUUCCAGAAGGACAUGGAAUCAUUGCUCAAAACAGUAAGCUCUUUGCUUAAGAAAAGGGACUUAUGGCUCUUCUGCGCAUGUAAUCUUUGUGAAACCCUUGGUCACUGCAGCAGUAUUUGUUGCUAACACCAGCCUUGUCCAGAAGUCCCAGCCAGAUCUGCACACACCCAGCCCCUGUGUGCCUCCUUCCCAGUGUCCCAUGCCUUCUCCUGUCCUCUCCACGUGUGCACCCUCUCAGAGCUUCUCUAAGCCCACCUUCUCCAUCCAACUUCCAGCCACUUGGCUCUCUCCUGGCCAUUAAAGAUUAUUUCAAGCUGGUAACAUAAUCCCAAGCACUUAAUGGCAUAAUUAAUAGUCCCACAUGGAUCAUUUCAUUAUCCAACUUCAUAAUAAAUUGCAGAG